GGAGAAAUCCGGAUUAAUACCGCAUACGCCCUUACGAGGGAAAGCAGGGGNUUUUCGGAACCUUGCACUAUUGGAUGAGCNUGCGUCGGAUUAGCUAGUUGGUGGGGUAAAGGCCUACCAAGGCCACGAUCCGUAGCUGGUCUGAGAGGAUGAUCAGCCACACUGGGACUGAGACACGGCCCAGACUCCUACGGGAGGCAGCAGUGGGGAAUAUUGCACAAUGGGCGCAAGCCUGAUGCAGCCAUGCCGCGUGUGUGAAGAAGGCUNUAGGGUUGUAAAGCANUUUCAGCGAGGAGGAAAGGUUGACGAUUAAUACUCGUCA
RNAcentral lists this ribosomal RNA (322 nucleotides) under uncultured Gammaproteobacteria bacterium. RNAcentral's name for it is "bacterial SSU rRNA". It matches the Rfam family "Bacterial small subunit ribosomal RNA", at positions 150 to 474 of the family's 1533-position model. The record is from RNAcentral. Lineage: Bacteria; Pseudomonadati; Pseudomonadota; Gammaproteobacteria.